UUCAUCUGUGAAAUUGAAAACACAACUAAUGUCCAUUUUAAUCAGCUGACGGUUAAAUAUGGAGUAAUGACAGUGCAGGUGUGGAAUCCACCUCUUAGUGAGCAAUACCUCCUGAUCCUGCGCCUCCUGCUGGUUCCCUCUCUCACUGUUGUGUUGGUGAUUGUGUUUCACUGCUCCUUUAUGAAGAAUGAACCCUGAUUAUUGACGGCAGUUUUUCCAGCUGAGAGUCGCUGUGACAUCAUGACUAGUUGAAUCCUCCAUUCAUCGAUAAGAAAUAUUAUACAGCUGCUUGCAAAAAUGUAACGCAUUGCUUCACUUUUUGAAUUUGCAAUUGUGUUCAACUGUUUUCUUUUUACUUUUUUUUAAUUUUUAUUUGUUCACGUUUUCAAUUUUGGGGAUAAAAAGCUUCAAGCUUCUAGAUUUCACCCAUAAAGAUAAAAUAAUCUAAUUAAUAAUAGAGUUUAGUUGAUGAAUCAAGCUAAACAAUCUGCCAGAAUAAAACAUUUAUUCCUCUAGACGCUCCUGAGUUUAAGUUUAAGGCAAAGAAUAAAGAGGCGAUCA
Long non-coding RNA from Cyprinodon variegatus (sheepshead minnow), 561 nucleotides. RefSeq lists it as uncharacterized. The transcript has 3 exons. NCBI's taxonomy places the organism in Eukaryota, Metazoa, Chordata, Actinopteri, Cyprinodontiformes, Cyprinodontidae. The record is from RefSeq and is a predicted model, not a curated record.